AUGGAUGAGGAAGCUGCUAGAGCUAUCUUUGCUUGCAAAGAUAGAUAUGAUCUUAAGAAAUUAUUAGCCAAAUGGAAGCAACAAUCUCUUAAUGCAAGAAUGAAACCUGACCCCGCUUUUGCUACUUCACCUAUCUGUGUUACUGAUAAGGAUUAUGAAUUCUCUGUUGAUCCUGAAAUAAUUACUUUCGUUGAAUCCGAUCCUUUUUAUGGCCUUGAAUCUGAAACUGUUGUGGCACAUCUUACCAAGUUAAAUGAUAUAGCCACCCUGUUUACUAAUGAUGAGAAGUCUCGCUAUUUUUAUAUCCUUAAGAUAUUUCCGUUCACAUUAAAGGGUGAUGCUAAGACUUGGUUUAAGUCUCUUGAUCCUGGUUGUGUGCGUAGCCCCCAGGAUAUGAUUUAUUACUUCUUUGCUAAAUAUUUCCCUGCUCAUAAGAAACAAGCUGCCUUGCGGGAAAUAUAUAAUUUUGUGCAAAUCAAAGAAGAGAGUCUCCCACAAGCUUGGGGAGGCUUCUCCGAUUACUUAAUGCUUUGCCUGAUCAUCCUCUUAAGAAAAAUGAAAUACUUGAUAUCUUUUAUAAUGGACUAA
Molecule: ribosomal RNA, 588 nt
Filed under: Triticum aestivum (bread wheat)
Lineage: Eukaryota; Viridiplantae; Streptophyta; Magnoliopsida; Poales; Poaceae
Description: partial small subunit ribosomal RNA
Source: RNAcentral